RNAcentral lists this ribosomal RNA (229 nucleotides) under uncultured bacterium. Its description in RNAcentral is "partial 16S ribosomal RNA". It matches the Rfam family "Bacterial small subunit ribosomal RNA", at positions 568 to 796 of the family's 1533-position model. The record is from RNAcentral.
UCCGUAGGCGGGCAAUUAAGUCAGAGGUGAAAUCCCACAGCUCAACUGUGGAACUGCCUUUGAUACUGGUUGUCUUGAGUUAAAGUGAAGUAGAUAGAAUAUGUAGUGUAGCGGUGAAAUGCAUAGAUAUUACAUAGAAUACCGAUUGCGAAGGCAGUCUACUAACUGUAUACUGACGCUAAUGGACGAAAGCGUGGGGAGUGAACAGGAUUAGAUACCCUGGUAGUCC